Molecule: unclassified non-coding RNA, 816 nt
Filed under: Hevea brasiliensis (rubber tree)
Lineage: Eukaryota; Viridiplantae; Streptophyta; Magnoliopsida; Malpighiales; Euphorbiaceae
Source: RNAcentral
UUUUUUUUUAAAAAAAAAAAUUAAAAUAGUUAAUGAACUACGCUUAAAGCAGUCCCCAAUCCAUAGACCCAUACCUUUAUGGCACAGCAAACUUUUAUUCUUUGUUUGGCAAGUUGGUUUUCUAUUAUGUGGAUUUAAGAGUUUUUCUUUUCAAUUUUUGUAAAGAAAAAGGUCCCAAAUCCACGCAACUCCAAAUCAGUGCACCAACUACAUCUUUAUCAAAAGAGAAUCGUCCCUCAUCACAUAUGCCAAUAUAAAUAGUAUUUAAAAAAAUCUCAUUUCCACAAUUACUGCUUGCAGCAAUCCUAAUAACCACUGCAAAGUUCACAGUUAACAUGAACCUCAAUAACAGUGGAAACGAGAUAAAAUAGCAUUUAUGAUCACUUUAAGAAAUACCCAUUUCAAAAUAAUCCAAACCCAACCUUUCCUUUAGCUUCUCUUAGCUUACAUUUAAAUCUCAGAUAUGAGAAACAAGAUUAUAAAAACUCAAGCAGCAAAUACACAACUAAUAAAAUAAAAUAACUAACCAUUUCUAUCUUUAUAAGGAAAAAAAAAUCUCAAAACCAAGAUCUAGACAUAAAAGAAGGGACAGAAGAUUGAAACUAAAAACAAUCAAUCCAUGUAGAUCUGAGCUUGACGAACAAAGGGAAGAACUUGAAAUAUGAAUAAAAACAAGAUAGAGAGAUACUGCAUGAUCUUACCGAUGAUACAUGAUUGAUCGGAGAAGGAAAAAUCGAAAUAAAAAAAAAAAAAAGUGAUUCAAAUAAAAUCCUCUACUCUUCUCCCUCUGCAAUUAAAAGAAUGGACAAAUUGUUA